GACGAACGCUGGCGGCGUGCUUAACACAUGCAAGUCGAACGGAAAGGCCCUGCUUGCCGGGUGCUCGAGUGGCGAACGGGUGAGUAACACGUGUGUGAACCGCCCCUUACUUUGUGAUAAGCCUUGGAAACAGGGUCUAUUAUUGGGUAGGACCAUUCCUUAUGUGGUGUGGUGGUUAGAUUGUUUUCGGUGGGGGAUGAGCUCGCGGCCGAUCAGCGCUUUGGUGGGGGGUUGGCCUACCACGGCGUCUACGGGUAGCCGGCCCGAGGGGGUGGACGGCGACAUUGGGGCUGAGAUACGGCCCAGAAUACUACGGGAGGCGGCAGUGGGGGAGAUUGCACAAUAGGCGCAAGACGGCUGAAGCGACGCCGCGGGGGGGGUGAUGGCCGUCGGGUUGUAGACUCCUUCCAGCCAUGACGAAGACGUUGUGGUGACGGUAGUGGUAGAAGAAGCACCGGCUAACUACGUG
RNAcentral lists this ribosomal RNA (469 nucleotides) under uncultured bacterium. RNAcentral's name for it is "partial 16S ribosomal RNA". It matches the Rfam family "Bacterial small subunit ribosomal RNA", at positions 28 to 507 of the family's 1533-position model. The record is from RNAcentral.